Long non-coding RNA from Grammomys surdaster, 1043 nucleotides. RefSeq lists it as uncharacterized. Lineage: Eukaryota; Metazoa; Chordata; Mammalia; Rodentia; Muridae. The transcript is spliced from 2 exons. The record is from RefSeq and is a predicted model, not a curated record.
AGGCUCUGGCGCAAAGAGAAGGGAGAGUCUGCCCUCCCGCCACCUGAGCGUGACUGUGUGGUAACCAAGCGCUCUUGAAGUGGGGAGGGAAGGGAAGCCGAGAGUCUCCCACCGUCAUCACCUCCAUGGUUUAAAGAGGAAAGUGGAGUCGUGUCCCAGUUCCAGGCGAAGACACCUUCCUAAUGCCAUCUAGGUAGAAGAGAGGUGUCAGCUUCCCUACCCUGAGGUCCAAGAAGCCCAUUCAGACUCAUCUGCUCUACAGGAAAUGGAAAUGUUUAGGAUUCUGACGUCAUGCACCCUUGUCCUGCUUUGUCACUAACUCAUUGGCUUUGCAGUCCUCCACAGGCUACUGAGGAAGUGAUAGCAUCUACCUGGAUGGUACCUCUCAUGACAUGACCUUAAAAAGGAUAGUUGAAAAUGACAAAGCUCUACCAGAAGAGACAUCGUGGUUGCUUUUCACACUGUUAUGUGGUAUUUGAAGUACCUCCCGAGAAUCUAUCAUGUCCACUGAGGUGGGCCUUCUUGACACUGCUGGUAUGGGUCCCAUCAUUUCUUUCUUUUCUACUUCUGAAUAGUCAGCAGAGGACAGCUAAUGCCCCAGCAUCCAAUCAAGGUGGCCACAUAAGCUGGGCCAAUGUGCCAUAAUUAAAAAUCACAAAACUCGCAGUCAAGUCUCAAAUCAUGUUAGCUCAUAUCUUUGCCCAAGCCACCUUCAGCCUCAGUUUCCUCAACCGUGAAAGAGUGUGACAACAAUUAUAACUACCUUGAAAGACUACUGAGAAGAUUAAGAGUGAGUGAGUGCAUUUUAUAAGCUGUAAAGCGCUGUGCAAAUGUUAGCUAUUGAUAUUUCUCACUCUAGUGGAUCACAGAGCUUGCCAGCAAAAGUAAAUUACCAAAAAAAAAGGAGGAAAAAAUCUUCCCACACAUAAUUAUCCCAGCAUUAAACACUAAAGAGAACUCAGGCAAGUGUGGGGUGGAAGGUCGUUCCUCUCGGUGACUCUCAGGCUUAGUCAUACCCGCUAAAAUAAAUGCAGCAACCGCUU